This 198-nucleotide unclassified non-coding RNA is filed under the name uncultured Russula. RNAcentral describes it as "sequence contains ITS1". The record is from RNAcentral. Lineage: Eukaryota; Fungi; Basidiomycota; Agaricomycetes; Russulales; Russulaceae.
UCGUAAAACCGAGGUGCGAGGGCUGUCGCUGACCUUUUUUUGGUUGUGCACGCCCGAGUGCUCUCACACAAUCCAUCUCACCCCUUGUGCACCACCGCGUGGGUUUCCUUUCUGGCUUGUUCGGAAGGGGGGCUUGCGUUUUCACACAAACUUGAAGUAGUGUAGAAUGUCCUUUUUUGCGAUAACACGCAAUCAAUA